ACGAAAAAUAACGAUACGGGACUCAUCCGAGGCCCCGUAAUCGGAAUGAGUACACUCUAAACCCUUUAACGAGGAUCAAUUGGAGGGCAAGUCUGGUGCCAGCAGCCGCGGUAAUUCCAGCUCCAAUAGCGUAUAUUAAAGUUGUUGCGGUUAAAAAGCUCGUAGUCGAAUUUGUGUCUCGCGCCGCCGGUUCAUCGCUCGCGGUGUCAACUGGCGUGUCCGCGGGACGUCCUGCCGGUGGGCUUAGCCUCUUGGGCGGCCCAAUCCCAAUCCCACCGCGGUGCUCUUUACUGAGUGUCGAGGUGGGCCGGCACGUUUACUUUGAACAAAUUAGAGUGCUUAAAGCAGGCUAAAACAUCGCCUGAAUACUGUGUGCAUGGAAUAAUGGAAUAGGACCUCGGUUCUAUUUUGUUGGUUUUCGGAACCCCGAGGUAAUGAUUAAUAGGAACGGAUGGGGGCAUUCGUAUUGCGACGUUAGAGGUGAAAUUCUUGGAUCGUCGCAAGACGGACAGAAGCGAAAGCAUUUGCCAAAAACGCUUUCAUUGAUCAAGAACGAAAGUUAGAGGUUCGAAGGCGAUCAGAUACCGCCCUAGUUCUAACCAUAAACGAUGCCAGCUAGCGAUCCGCCGACGUUCCUCCGAUGACUCGGCGGGCAGCUUCCGGGAAACCAAAGCUUCUGGGUUCCGGGGGAAGUAUGGUUGCAAAGCUGAAACUUAAAGGAAUUGACGGAAGGGCACCACCAGGAGUGGAGCCUGCGGCUUAAUUUGACUCAACACGGGAAACCUCACCAGGCCCGGACACCGGAAGGAUUGACAGAUUGAGAGC
This 825-nucleotide ribosomal RNA is filed under the name Paraphytus sp. sp157. RNAcentral's name for it is "SSU rRNA". It matches the Rfam family "Eukaryotic small subunit ribosomal RNA", at positions 470 to 1255 of the family's 1831-position model. Lineage: Eukaryota; Metazoa; Arthropoda; Insecta; Coleoptera; Scarabaeidae. The record is from RNAcentral.